GACUCAACACGGGGAACUCACCAGGUCCAGAUGAAUAAGGAUUGACAGAUUGAGAGCUCUUUCUUGAUUUUUCAGGUGCUGGUGCAUGCCGUUCUUAGUUCGUGGGGUGACUUGUCUGCUUAAUUGCGAUAACGAACGAGACCUUAACCUGCUAAAUAGCUAGGCUAGCUUUGGCUGGUCGCCGGCUUCUUAGAGGGACUAUCGGCUCAAGCCGAUGGAAGUUUGAGGCAAUAACAGGUCUGUGAUGCCCUUAGAUGUUCUGGGCCGCACGCGCGCUACACUGACGGAGCCAACGAGUACAUCACCUUGGCCGAAAGGCCUGGGUAAUCUUGUUAAACUCCGUCGUGCUGGGGAUAGAGCAUGCAAUUAU
This 370-nucleotide ribosomal RNA is filed under the name Paraphaeosphaeria sp. 33a. RNAcentral describes it as "SSU rRNA". It matches the Rfam family "Eukaryotic small subunit ribosomal RNA", at positions 1197 to 1593 of the family's 1831-position model. Lineage: Eukaryota; Fungi; Ascomycota; Dothideomycetes; Pleosporales; Didymosphaeriaceae. The record is from RNAcentral.